Molecule: ribosomal RNA, 451 nt
Filed under: uncultured bacterium
Lineage: Bacteria
Description: bacterial SSU rRNA
Rfam family: Bacterial small subunit ribosomal RNA
Source: RNAcentral
UGUCCAGACUCCUACGGGAGGCAGCAGUGGGGGAUAUUGGACAAUGGGGGGAACCCUGAUCCAGCGACGCCGCGUGGGUGAAGAAGUAUUUCGGUAUGUAAAGCUCUGUCAGCAGGGAAGAAAGCAAUGACGGUACCUGACCAAGAAGCCCCGGCUAACUACGUGCCAGCAGCCGCGGUAAUACGUAGGGGGCAAGCGUUAUCCGGAUUUAUUGGGUUUAAAGGGUGCGCAGGCGGAAGAUCAAGUCAGCGGUAAAAUUGAGGGGCUCAACCUCUUCGAGCCGUUGAAACUGGUUUUCUUGAGUGAGCGAGAAGUAUGCGGAAUGCGUGGUGUAGCGGUGAAAUGCAUAGAUAUCACGCAGAACUCCGAUUGCGAAGGCAGCAUACCGGCGCUCAACUGACGCUCAUGCACGAAAGUGUGGGUAUCGAACAGGAUUAGAUACCCUAGUACU